CCUACGGGGGGCAGCAGUGGGGAAUAUUGGACAAUGGGGGCAACCCUGAUCCAGCCAUGCCGCGUGUGUGAAGAAGGCCCUCGGGUUGUAAAGCACUUUCAGUGAGGAAGAACGCCUGGUGGGGAAUACCCAUCAGGAAAGACAUCACUCACAGAAGAAGCACCGGCUAACUCCGUGCCAGCAGCCGCGGUAAUACGGAGGGUGCGAGCGUUAAUCGGAAUUACUGGGCGUAAAGCGCGCGUAGGUGGCUUGAUAAGCCGGUUGUGAAAGCCCCGGGCUCAACCUGGGAACGGCAUCCGGAACUGUCAAGCUAGAGUGCAGGAGAGGAAGGUAGAAUUCCCGGUGUAGCGGUGAAAUGCGUAGAGAUCGGGAGGAAUACCAGUGGCGAAGGCGGCCUUCUGGACUGACACUGACACUGAGGUGCGAAAGCGUGGGUAGCAAACAGGAUUAGAUACCCCUGUAGUC
This 465-nucleotide ribosomal RNA is filed under the name Vreelandella stevensii. Its description in RNAcentral is "partial 16S ribosomal RNA". It matches the Rfam family "Bacterial small subunit ribosomal RNA", at positions 338 to 795 of the family's 1533-position model. Lineage: Bacteria; Pseudomonadati; Pseudomonadota; Gammaproteobacteria; Oceanospirillales; Halomonadaceae. The record is from RNAcentral.